RNAcentral lists this ribosomal RNA (254 nucleotides) under uncultured bacterium. RNAcentral describes it as "partial 16S ribosomal RNA". It matches the Rfam family "Bacterial small subunit ribosomal RNA", at positions 524 to 776 of the family's 1533-position model. The record is from RNAcentral.
UACGUAGGGCGCAAGCGUUGUCCGGAAUUAUUGGGCGUAAAGAGCUCGUAGGCGGUUUGUCGCGUCUGCCGUGAAAACCCGAGGCUUAACCUCGUGGCUUGCGGUGGAUACGGGCAGACUAGAGGUAGGUAGGGGAGAACGGAAUUCCCGGUGUAGCGGUGAAAUGCGCAGAUAUCGGGAGGAACACCGGUGGCGAAGGCGGUUCUCUGGGCCUUACCUGACGCUGAGGAGCGAAAGCGUGGGGAGCGAACAGG